GUCCGGGUGGUGAAAUUGGUAGACACGCUACUUUGAGGGGGUAGUGGCCGAAAGGCUGUGGGAGUUCGAAUCUCCUCUCGGACA
This 84-nucleotide transfer RNA is filed under the name Muribaculaceae bacterium. Its description in RNAcentral is "tRNA-Leu". It matches the Rfam family "tRNA". Rfam says of the family: Transfer RNA (tRNA) molecules are approximately 80 nucleotides in length. Their secondary structure includes four short double-helical elements and three loops (D, anti-codon, and T loops). Further hydrogen bonds mediate the characteristic L-shaped molecular structure. tRNAs have two regions of fundamental functional importance: the anti-codon, which is responsible for specific mRNA codon recognition, and the 3' end, to which the tRNAs corresponding amino acid is attached (by aminoacyl-tRNA synthetases). tRNAs cope with the degeneracy of the genetic code in two manners: having more than one tRNA (with a specific anti-codon) for a particular amino acid; and 'wobble' base-pairing, i.e. permitting non-standard base-pairing at the 3rd anti-codon position. Lineage: Bacteria; Pseudomonadati; Bacteroidota; Bacteroidia; Bacteroidales; Muribaculaceae. The record is from RNAcentral.